This is a long non-coding RNA of Leopardus geoffroyi (Geoffroy's cat), 1480 nucleotides long. RefSeq lists it as uncharacterized. The transcript is spliced from 2 exons. NCBI's taxonomy places the organism in Eukaryota, Metazoa, Chordata, Mammalia, Carnivora, Felidae. The record is from RefSeq and is a predicted model, not a curated record.
CCAAGCAUCAUGGUGGAAGGUGUCCAUUCCAAAUAUCAGGGGUGCGCUGUGGGAAAGUCCGCCAGGAUCUGGAAAUUGGGCUGGAUGCUGCGCUCCCCAGACUACCUUCUCACUGCAGAUCUGGAAAGAGAAUUCAGCCAUCACAUACGGGAGAAGUACAACGCACACAGCUUAUCCAAGUUUAACUAGGACUUGCCUUGACUAAGGAGGAGUAAAGAAAAACCCAGAUAUAUUUAUUAAAGCUGAAUUGCAUGGAGUGUUGCCCAGCGUGAGCUACUAUGCCAGGCAUGUUAGACAGAGCAGCAUAUUUAUUCCUUCUAAGAACCUGGUGAUGUAAGCGUUCUGCUUGUCCUUUUUAUAGAUGAGGAAACUGAGACUUAGAAAAAAAAAAAAAAACACCACAUAUCCUUACCUACUAAGCAGCAGAGUUGAGCUUUGAACCUUUAUCCCAGAAAAAGAAAUAAAAGGAAAAGAAGAACACCAUUUGGAAGAGUCCAAGAAAUCCCUGAGAAUAACCUGUUGCAGAAUUCAAAAGAAAACUGCUUCUUUAGUUGGCUGCAAGAACGCAUGGGCCCAGUGGCUGGACAGAGAAGUCAUAACAAUAGUCAAGAUGAAAUUUUAAGAGUAAAAAGGAAAUAGAACAAAAGGACACAAAGCGAACCGGAAUAAACCAUCCAACUUCUUAUAUGCAUUUUGCAUCGAUUUCUAGACGAUUAGUCUGCCAUUGUUCUGUCUAUCCCAGUGGGAGUACCACAUUCUUUAUUGUAACUUUGUAAUACAUCAAUAUCUGGUUGGGCAAGAUUUUCUUCACUAUUCUUCAGUAUGCAUUUAUGACUAGAAAGUAUUUCUCAGCAAAGUACAAUGAAAGGGAGCCUCUCUAUUCUGAUAAAAGAUCUCUAGCAGAAGCCAGCUGCAAGCAUCACGUUUAAUGGAAAUGUUUCAGAGCAUGCCCUUUAAAGUUAGGAAUAAAACAAGGAUGCAGGCUCUCAGGGCUGCUAUUCGGUGUUGUUGUAGAGGUCCUACCCGGUUAGACAAGAGAACUAAACAAUAGAAGGAUUUGAAAAAAUAUAUAAGUAAAACUGGCACCAGAUGCCCUGAUUAAAAGCACAGGCAUCUGGAGGGAAUCUACGAGAUUAACUACUAGAACCAAUAUGAGUGCUCACCAGCCUUCCUGAGCGCAAGACCAAAAUAUCAAAACCAGUUAGGUUCCUAUACAAUCAAGAAGCAUAACUUUUGAAAAGCUUCCAUUUACAAGAGCAACAUAAGGCUUCUUCUGACUGGUGGAGAAUGAACUUUAAGGGGCAAGAGGGGAAGCAGGGAGCCUGGUGAGGAGCUGUGAAGGUAGCCCAGGUGAGAGAGGUCAGUGGCUACAUUUGGAUGGUAGAUGUGGAGAUAGCAAGAAAUUGUAUCAAACACCAGUGAUUCAUGCAAAUAAUUUAAAUUGGCAUGAGUGCUAAAAAAAAAAAAAAGUUAAAAUGCU